RNAcentral lists this long non-coding RNA (4896 nucleotides) under Homo sapiens (human). RNAcentral describes it as "HSALNT0068404". Lineage: Eukaryota; Metazoa; Chordata; Mammalia; Primates; Hominidae. The record is from RNAcentral.
GGAAAAAGGUUCCGGCCUCAGCCGGCGCACCUGGCGGAGGAGGAACCUCGCGACGCGCUCUCGGGCAUCGGUUUCUCCCAGCAAAGCUUGGAGGGUUUAGCUGCGCGGAGAGCUCAGCGAGCUCUUCUGUGUCUGUUUGGGGCGUGUGGGCUCCGGGAGCGUGAGGACCGGGAAGCUAGGAGGCUCCUUCCCUUCUGGCGGCUCCCUCACUGAGACCGGGCGGUUUGGUUGCGGGGGAAGUGGAGACGAGCCACCCUUGACCUUUGACUGCAAGAACUCACCUUGAGCAGGAUAGAGGCACGUGGACGGUGACCCUCGGGAUGCAAUAAAUGCUGAGACAGAUCAGGUGUGCAAGGCACAGAGCUAGAGGCCAGAGGCCUUUCUUCUCCAACCUUCAGUCACCUCUUUUUAAAGUGAAGCCAGCAUCCUCCUCGGGGUUUACUGUGAAAAUUAAGUGAGCUGACGCGUGCUGUGUUUUGAUGUUGCUUGGCUCCUACAAACAUUGAGUGGGCCAGACACUGUUCUGAAAAAUACGCAGUCGACUUUUGAACAGCACAGGCUUGAACUGCAUGCGGCCACUAAUACUCGGACUUCCUUCUGCCUCUGCCAUCCCUAAGACAGCAAGACCCACCCCUCCUGCUCCUCAGCCUACUCGAUGUGAUGAUGAUGCAGAGAUUCAGAGAGUCUAAGCAACUUUUCUAAAUCAUCUAGCUGGAAUUCAGUAACUGAGCCAGGAUCUACCCCAGGUCUGUCUGACUCCAAAGCCUGUGUCUUCCAGCACACACUGCUGCUGCCUGGGGAAUGUGGAUAUGAUGUCUGGAGCUCUAGCAACCAUAUCAGACCACAAGGAUGAAUGUACACCCCAGGAAUGGAAGAGAGGAAAGCCAGAAAAAGACUCGGUCCCUGAUGGCUGAAGAGCUACCAUACCUGCCCCUAGAUCUUCUAUUUCUGAUCAUCUUCUAUGCAAGGCCUGGAAUGUAAUCAUGGAUAGCCAUGGAUGAUCAGCUUUCAUCAUGUGGGCAUGGAACAAGAUGGAAGGAAGCUGGGGCCCUGAGUGACCUGUGGAGCAGAGGCCUUUGCCCACCCUGGGCUGCCUGAUUUCCCCUGGACUAUCAUGAGACAGAAGAAAAAGCUUCUAUCUUAUUUGAACCACUGUGUUUUGGGAACCUUGGACUAGAGCAGCCUAGCCUUCAUACACUAACAAGGUGUAUGUGUCUGCUCUUUGUUGCUUUUGUAGAUGGUUGUGUUAUAAGCCUGAAUGCAGAAGUUGUUCCCCAGACUACUGGAUUUGCUGCCUUUUAAAACAGGUUUAUUGAACUAUAAUUGACAUACAAUGAACUGCAUAUAGGUAAAGUGUACAAUUUGAUAAGUACACUUUUUGAGCAAAUCCACCCUUUGUUCUGGAAGAAGACACUCUAUAGUCUCAGGCUGUUUCUUUACCAACAUCAACAAGCUAGUCUUAAACAGAGGAACCUCAGUGCCUCACUUUCAAGACAAUCAAGAUUAUUUCCCAACAUUCCACUAGUAGAGGGUCAGAAACAGAGUUAAAAGUUCUCAGACUAGAGGUAGAAUUGAAACCCCAGCUGAGAAGUAUCAAGGUGCCCUCCUUCCCCAAAGCUACAUAUUCUUGUGUCAGGAUCUUACCAGGAAAUGGAAGGCACAUUUACACAGGGCAGCCCAAGAGACUGUUUCAAAGGAAACCAGCAAGAUGUGACAAAGCACCCCAAGACUAGCGACACUGGGAGACCUUCUCACUUGACUUAAAAGGCUGGGGCAGGAGAGUUACAGGACCCAGUAUUAGCUGUAGCCAAAGCCUGGGCAGGGCCACCUAACAUGAGCUGCACCCUUCUGUAGAGCAGCACAGACCUUGUGCAUCUGAGGCCCAGCAGGAUGGGGCCUUGCUCAUCCUUCCCUUGCAGUUCUUGCUAAUGCUUCCUGUUGCCUGAACCCAGCUGGAAGCCAGAGGGCAAGGGAAAUCAAUUGAGACAGAUAAUGGAGGUAAUCCCCUGGGCACAGGGCAGCAUGGCAGAGGUAAGGAGUCUGUCUAGAGCCACAAAGGAAGAGGACUGAGUCCAGAGGUGAAAGCAGUCACGUAUCCCCAAAGACACCUGCUACACAUUUGGGCUUUGAUUUAUCAAUGAGAAGGCUUGAGGGACAGUGGGAAAAAUGAUGAGGAGUCAUUAGGUCCUUGUGGAAAUGGUGCCCUUGAAGGAUGAGCCUGUAAUCACUAGGUACACGUGGGUGGAUGAAUGCUGGUGAAACAGGUGGAGGGAAUGAAAGGACAGAGGCAGCACGAGAACACUGUAAGCAGAGCAGAAGUCCAUGCAAAAGCCAGAGAUGUGAGACAGCACGGGUACAUAUAGGGACCCGCAGGUGGUCUGGAGUGGCUUUGCUGUGGGUUGUGAUGAGAUAUCCACUGUGUUGGAGCUCUGGAACAAAAAGGAGGUCAUCUAAGCUGGUUGCUUCUGUUUUUUUCUUUUCUUUUUUUUCCGGAUGCAUUUCAAUUAGGUGAGGGGUACCAGGCAGAAACCCCUCCUGAAUAUAAACCCUCUGUCUUAUUGUACCAGUUAAAGAUGAACGAUGGCUCACUUCCUAUUGGGUACUAAGUUCAUUAUUUGGGUGACAGGAUCAAUAGAAGCCCAAACCUCAGCAUCAUGCAAUAUACCCAUGUGACAAACCUGUAUCCCCUAAAUCUAAAAUAAUAAUAAAAAAAGAUGUACCAUAGCUCUUAAUUGCUCUUCAAAUCACCCACACCAUUAGAGAAAGCUAUUUCCACCCCAAUCUGAAUUAAAGAAUUCUACAAUCUCCUACAGUCCGAAAGAGAGACUUCAGCUAAAGAGAAAGCUGGUGCUCCUCUUGCUAGCUGAGUGAAUUCUGAUCCUCUUUUUCAUUUUUAUUUUCUUGCUUGAACUCUGCUUUGUUAAAUCAAACACCAGCCCAAAACUGAGCCCAUGGAUCACCAUAUUGGCAGCCUUAUCCUAGAAUCUCAGGGCUGGAAAGAACUCCGAGUACAGCAUUCUCCAGUGUUGGGUGUCAACAGGAGCAGAGUUGGUCUCUUUCGAGAGCUUCCUGGAGAGUCUAUAAAAGCCUGGCUUUUGAACUCUUAUAUUUGGAGGCUGAGAUUCAGAAGGCCUGGGGUGGGGCUUGAGAAUAUAAAUUCUUUAAAAAAAUUUUUUUCUUUUCCUUAGAUAAAUCUUAGAAACCAAAGGGAAUUGAAUUCUUAAGAGGACUUGAAAAUGAUUCUAAUAUAGUCGGGUUAGGGGAAAUCUGGUCUUGAGCUUUUUCUUGGGAGAUGUGGUGAGUCCAAGGCAAGCCAGGCUUCAAUUCUGAAUCUACACUCUUCCCACACAUCUAUGUGGCCUCUGUGCCGAGUCUGAGUUUUAUGUUUUACAAAGAAAACUAGGAGAAAAACUGUUAUUCUUCUGAUUAACAGAAAAGUUGUCCAACUGGCUACACUUGAAUUAUAUCCCCUGAUUAUUAAACUCAGGCUUCUUUAGUUUUCAUUUAUUUUAUUUCAUUGCAUGGAGAUGUUUUAAAAGAGGAAGGCAAGGGGUGUGGGGGAAGGAUUCUGGGAUAGCGACCAUUCUCACCACAUGCAGAAGGCCAAUACUGCUUCCAGAAGGAGACACAAGGAAUCCUUCACUGAGUGAAAGUUUUUUUUCUUCCAGAGAAUAUCAGUAUUCCUACUUUAUAACAAGCCAGGAGCUUUUUCUGCUUCCUGAUUUAAAAAUUGAUUCCUGACUGCAUAGUUCUCACACAAUAGCUUCCUUCUUGCAGGGGCAGUGUGAUUGCCUGGAAUAUAAAUUCUUAGUGGGUUGACCAGGGAUCACGAGCAGUUAUUAUGUUCUCUGCUGCUCUUAACAUGUUGUGAUUCUCAAUAAAUAAUCCAGAGCCAAAGCAUGGUGUUUUGUUUUGCUUUGUCUCAGUGAGUUUUCCAAACUGUAUUUACUAUCUCAAAGUGAGAGCAUCGCAGUUUUCUGAGCCAACUGCAGCAAUUUUCCAGAUCUGGAGAGUAUUUUUGAAGAUUAUUUCUUUGGAGAUUUUCUCUCUUAUUUGGUUUGUUUCCUCUUUGAUAAUUUUUAUUAUUCAUAUGUUGAAUUUUUUGAGCAGAGCUUUAAUUUUCUUAUCUUUUCUCCUCCUUUUUUCCAUUUUUUUCUUUGCCACUUUUCUCCCCCUUCUGGGAUAUUUUCUCAAAUUUUUUCUUCUAAACUUUUAUCUUUUCUGUGAUUAUAAUUUUAAAUUCCAAAAUACCUUUUUUUGGAGAGGGGAGUGGAGGGAAGUGUUCUCUGACUGUUCCUUUUAUAUAGUAGCCUGUUCUUAUUUCAUGGAUGUAAUAUCUUUCCUCUUUCUUUUAUAGUCUGUUUUCCCCAAGUUACUUUUUUCCCUUGUUUGUUUAUUUGUGUCUCUGUAUUUCAUCUCGGAGCAUUCCUUAGGUGUUUGGUGAUUUCCUCCUUCUCCCUCUCUCUGCUCCCUGCAUUGUUAUAAUUAUCUCUGAGCUGACCUCCCAACUUAGGUCUUUCUCAUUUUCUAGUAAACUUGGCAUAAUCCUGUGAAACCCAUCUUUUUUAAGCCCCCAAUUCAACAUGUGAUUCUGUUGGUGAAAAGCCUUCCAUGGCUCCAUAUUUCCCACUUCAUCAGAACUUAACUUUGCCAUUUUUGACAUUUUCAGUCUCUGACCCCACUCAGGCUAGGCACCAUACCUCUUGCCUCAGAAUGUGGAUACUCUUGUGUGUUCAGAGUUGGAGAUUAGGAAAUAAUACUAUUAAAAGUAAUAGCAAUCGAUGAUAAAGCCUUCAUAUGCUUUAUUCACAGACAUUACUGACUUCUCCUGUUAGCUCUGUCGUGCUUACAUCAUGAUGCCCAUUUUUCAGGUAAAGAAAUAGUGGCUCAAACAAG